RNAcentral lists this ribosomal RNA (253 nucleotides) under uncultured bacterium. RNAcentral's name for it is "partial 16S ribosomal RNA". It matches the Rfam family "Bacterial small subunit ribosomal RNA", at positions 524 to 776 of the family's 1533-position model. The record is from RNAcentral.
UACGUAGGGUGCAAGCGUUGUCCGGAAUUAUUGGGCGUAAAGAGCUCGUAGGCGGUCUGUCGCGUCGGAUGUGAAAACCCGGGGCUUAACCCCGGGCCUGCAGUCGAUACGGGCAAACUAGAGUACUGCAGGGGAGACUGGAAUUCCUGGUGUAGCGGUGAAAUGCGCAGAUAUCAGGAGGAACACCGGUGGCGAAGGCGGGUCUCUGGGCAGUAACUGACGCUGAGGAGCGAAAGCGUGGGGAGCGAACAGG